This 1516-nucleotide ribosomal RNA is filed under the name metagenome. RNAcentral describes it as "bacterial SSU rRNA". It matches the Rfam family "Bacterial small subunit ribosomal RNA". The record is from RNAcentral.
AGAGUUUGAUCCUGGCUCAGAUUGAACGCUGCCGGCAUGCCUUACACAUGCAAGUCGAACGCGGAAAUGGGGGCAACCCUGUGAGUAGAGUGGCGAACGGGUGAGUAAUGCAUCGGAACAUUUCCAGUAGCGGGGGAUAACCUGUCGAAAGAUAGGCUAAUACCGCAUACGACCUACGGGUGAAAGCGGAGGACCGAAAGGCUUCGCACUAUUGGAGUGGCCGAUGUCGGAUUAGCUAGUUGGCGGGGUAAAAGCCCACCAAGGCUACGAUCCGUAGCUGGUCUGAGAGGACGAUCAGCCACACUGGAACUGAGACACGGUCCAGACUCCUACGGGAGGCAGCAGUGGGGAAUUUUGGACAAUGGGCGAAAGCCUGAUCCAGCCAUGCCGCGUGAGUGAAGAAGGCCUUCGGGUUGUAAAGCUCUUUCGGCGGGGACGAAAUAGUCCGUGCUAAUACCAUGGAUCGAUGACGGUACCCGAAGAAGAAGCACCGGCUAACUACGUGCCAGCAGCCGCGGUAAUACGUAGGGUGCAGGCGUUAAUCGGAAUUACUGGGCGUAAAGCGUGCGCAGGCGGUUUGUUAAGACAGAUGUGAAAUCCCCGGGCUUAACCUGGGAACUGCGUUUGUUACUGGCAAGCUCGAGUGUGGCAGAGGGGGGUGGAAUUCCAAGUGUAGCAGUGAAAUGCGUAGAUAUUUGGAGGAACACCGAUGGCGAAGGCAGCCCCCUAGGCUAACACUGACGCUCAUGCACGAAAGCGUGGGGAGCAAACAGGAUUAGAUACCCUGGUAGUCCACGCCCUAAGCUAUGUCAACUGGUUGUCGGGGGAGCAAUCCCUUGGUAACGAAGCUAACGCGUGAAGUUGACCGCCUGGGGAGUACGGCCGCAAGGUUAAAACUCAAAGGAAUUGACGGGGACCCGCACAAGCGGUGGAUUAUGUGGAUUAAUCCGAUGCAACGCGAAAAACCUUACCUACCCUUGACAUGUACGGAACCUCGCAGAGAUGUGAGGGUGCUCGAAAGAGAACCGUAACACAGGUGCUGCAUGGCUGUCGUCAGCUCGUGUCGUGAGAUGUUGGGUUAAGUCCCGCAACGAGCGCAACCCUUGCCAUUAGUUGCUACAUUUAGUUGGGCACUCUAAUGGGACUGCCGGUGACAAACCGGAGGAAGGUGGGGAUGACGUCAAGUCCUCAUGGCCCUUAUGGGUGGGGCUUCACACGUAAUACAAUGGUCGGUACAGAGGGCAGCCAACCCGCGAGGGGGAGCUAAUCCCAGAAAGCCGAUCGUAGUCCGGAUUGUAGUCUGCAACUCGACUACAUGAAGCCGGAAUCGCUAGUAAUCGCGGAUCAGCAUGUCGCGGUGAAUACGUUCCCGGGUCUUGUACACACCGCCCGUCACACCAUGGGAGUGGGUUUCACCAGAAGUAGUUAGCCUAACCGCAAGGAGGGCGACUACCACGGUGAGAUUCAUGACUGGGGUGAAGUCGUAACAAGGUAGCCGUAUCGGAUGGUGCGGCUG